CCUACGGGAGGCAGCAGCAGGGAAUCUUGUCCAAUGGGCGCAAGCCUGAGACAGCGACGCCGCGUGAGGGAUGAAGGCUUUCGGGUUGUAAACCUCUUUCAGGAGGGACGAAUAAUGACGGUACCUCCAGAAGAAGCCCCGGCUAACUACGUGCCAGCAGCCGCGGUAAU
This 170-nucleotide ribosomal RNA is filed under the name uncultured bacterium. RNAcentral describes it as "partial 16S ribosomal RNA". It matches the Rfam family "Bacterial small subunit ribosomal RNA", at positions 338 to 524 of the family's 1533-position model. The record is from RNAcentral.